GAAAACUAAGUGGCUUCCCUUGAGGCAGCCCGAGGGCUCCACUGGACCCAGAACUCUGAGUUCUGAUGCUGCCUAUCAUUUGCUUUUCCUCAUGAGCUCCUGGACCACCUCAUAUCACCAGCACCCUCUACCCAAGGUCCUGGAGCCAACACUGGAGUAAAAGAGCACAAGAGAACUCCUUAGAGGUGGAAGGAUACCCUCUGAGGUCAAAUCAUUGGGCUUGUGGCCAUGAGACCACAGACUUUGCCUGGCUUCCAGUGACUGUCCGAGAUGACCUGUGGAGUGCACCGCCUGUACUUGGACAUCACUGUCUUUUCGGAUCCAUACCCGUCAUCCUUGGAAUUUCCCCUGCAUCCAAACCUGUUCCUGAUACAGGUGUGAGUAAUGAAUAACCCUAAGGAAUAUCUUGGAUGUCUUCACGGGGCUUAUGACUUAUUCUGAGGUUUACAAAAUAGAGGCCCCCAGCUGAGCAAAGAGAGGGCUGCAGCGCCGAGGGAACAGCUGCCGGACUCACCGGAGAGGCCUCCUGGAGCACGCCGGGACCCCCUCCACCCCCUGGCUUUGGCUGCAUCAAUGGCUAGUUUGCCUGAACUAUAUCUGAGCCACUGAGAGUAUUUAUUAAGCAGAGAAUAAUUUUGAGUUUCACUUUUAUAACUUUUGUUUCAAAAGUUGUUUUGGAUAAUUUAAUGAAAUGACUGUAAACCAGAAUUCCCCUUUUCAUUAUUUCUUUGUGUCAAUAUAAAAAGAGUUGAUGAUUUUAAAAGCCAGUGAGAUGUCCCUGUCUGUGGAUGUCAGCGGGAGGGUGGGGUCUGACGCCUUUCUCUGGUGGCUGUCCAGGAAGAUUGCCCCAGCUUGCACUCCCUUUUGGCGGGUUCCAGAGCCUUCCAUUUGAAAGGAGCAUCUCUCACCACUCUGCCCCACCCAGCACCAGCUCUUCUGGAACCCACUGACUUCCUAAACACUUUCUUCCUCCUUCACCUCAUUGAAUUCAAGACUUUAGAAAACAGCCAAAAACUCUAGAGGUGGGGGUGGGUUCGAUCUGGAAAUCCCUGCUGUAAUCUUUUUAAGGGAAUCCACUGGAAAUUAUUAAUUUAUGUUUUAAAUAAAACCAUUCCUUACUUAACAGAAUAUUAAGCCACUCAUUUUUUUAACAGAACUUUCGAGAUAUAAUUAAAAUGCCAUAAAUUUCACCCCCACACAGUGUACAAUUCCAAGGUUUCCAAUAUAGUCACAGAAGUCUCUGCAACAAUUACCACAAUUUUAGACAUGAAGACCAUUUGUUGGCAGCCCUACCUGCCUCUAUGUGUAUGUAUAUAAUUUUAAUAUUGGAUUGGAUACUAUAGUAAUAUUGUACUGUUACCUAUUUGUGUUUUUAUAUUGCUGUUUUAUUUUAUUCAGAUGAAUAAUAAUUAUCUCCAUAUAGUCAUACAUUUAUAUAGGGUUAAACACACCUUUUUACAAUUCAAUAAAUUAAAUUGGUCAGGUAUGGUGGCUCACGCCUGUAAUCCCAGCACUUUGGGAGGCCAAGGCGGGUGGAUCACCUGAGGUUGGGAGUUUGAGACCAGCGUGAUCAACAUGGAGAAACCCUGUCUGUACUAAAAAUACAAAAAAUUAGCCAGGCAUGGUGGCACAUGCCUGUAAUCCCAGCUACUUGGGAGGCUGAGGCAGGAGAAUCACUCGAACCAAGGAGGCGGACAUUGCGGUGAGCCAGGAUCGCACCAUUGCACUCCAGCCUGGGCAACAAGAGCAAAACUCCAUCUCAAGAAGAAAAAAAAAAAAAAAGUAAAUUGUUUUUAAUUACAUAAGAAACACGUGUUAUUGUUAUAGAAAUUCACAUAGUGCUUCGGUCUAUAGAAUAAAUGUAUCCCCACCACCUCCCAGCCCACCCACUCGUCUGCAUUCACCUACACACAGUUAAACAUGCACAUAUGUUUCCGUGACACGAUCUUGCUUUGCAUAUUGUUCACUGACUGGCUUUUCCAUAUAAGAUUUAAUUUGGUGAUUAUUGCUUAUCAGUACCUAUAGGUCUCUCUCAUUAUUAUUUAUAAUUACAUCAUUAUUCCAUAGGGUAUUUUACCACAAUUUGGUCACUUUUUCACUGAGGAAUUUUUAUGUCAGUUUCAGUUAUUUGUUAUUGUUACCAAUGCUGUACUGGGCAUCCCUGUAUAUCCACCUUUUUGUUGCAUUAGUUAAGUGGUUUUUUCCUUUUAUGAUUGAUUUCUAAAAAUAAAAUACUGCAGCAAA
Long non-coding RNA from Homo sapiens (human), 2244 nucleotides. RefSeq annotates it as long independently transcribed non-coding RNA 1887. The transcript has 3 exons. The record is from RefSeq and is marked validated. Lineage: Eukaryota; Metazoa; Chordata; Mammalia; Primates; Hominidae.